RNAcentral lists this ribosomal RNA (520 nucleotides) under uncultured bacterium. Its description in RNAcentral is "partial 16S ribosomal RNA". It matches the Rfam family "Bacterial small subunit ribosomal RNA", at positions 355 to 868 of the family's 1533-position model. The record is from RNAcentral.
UGGGGAAUUUUGGACAAUGGGCGAAAGCCUGAUCCAGCAAUGCCGCGUGUGUGAAGAAGGCCUUCGGGUUGUAAAGCACUUUUGUCCGGAAAGAAAUCCUUGGCUCUAAUACAGUCGGGGGAUGACGGUACCGGAAGAAUAAGCACCGGCUAACUACGUGCCAGCAGCCGCGGUAAUACGUAGGGUGCAAGCGUUAAUCGGAAUUACUGGGCGUAAAGCGUGCGCAGGCGGUUUGCUAAGACCGAUGUGAAAUCCCCGGGCUCAACCUGGGAACUGCAUUGGUGACUGGCAGGCUAGAGUAUGGCAGAGGGGGGUAGAAUUCCACGUGUAGCAGUGAAAUGCGUAGAGAUGUGGAGGAAUACCAAUGGCGAAGGCAGCCCCCUGGGCCAAUACUGACGCUCAUGCACGAAAGCGUGGGGAGCAAACAGGAUUAGAUACCCUGGUAGUCCACGCCCUAAACGAUGUCAACUAGUUGUUGGGGAUUCAUUUCCUUAGUAACGUAGCUAACGCGUGAAGUUGA